CAGGGAGUAGUUUAAUAAAAAUAUUAACUUUGGGAGUUAUUGAUAUGGAUCUAUCUUUUUCUCUGA
This 66-nucleotide transfer RNA is filed under the name Opisthoplatia orientalis. RNAcentral describes it as "tRNA-Pro". The record is from RNAcentral. Lineage: Eukaryota; Metazoa; Arthropoda; Insecta; Blattodea; Blaberidae.